Molecule: unclassified non-coding RNA, 326 nt
Filed under: fungal sp.
Lineage: Eukaryota; Fungi
Description: partial internal transcribed spacer region
Rfam family: Eukaryotic small subunit ribosomal RNA (bases 1-46)
Source: RNAcentral
AAGUCGUAACAAGGUAUCUGUAGGUGAACCUGCAGAUGGAUCAUUUCGAUGAAAACCUUUUUCUUGAGGUGUGGCUCGCACCUGUCUAACUAAACUUGAGCUACCUUUUUUCAACACGGUUGCAUCGGUUGGCCUGUCAAACAGUGCGGCGGUCGCGAAUUUAUUUUCGCACCUGCCAAACUAGGCGACGGACCGACACUUUUACCAAACACUUUUGAUGAUCUAGGAUUUGAAUGAUAAAAGUUCAUUUUUAAUAAUGAAAUCGACUGGUAAUGCGGUCGUCUAAUUUUAAAAACAACUUUUGGCAACGGAUCUCUUGGUUCUCC